RNAcentral lists this ribosomal RNA (403 nucleotides) under Verrucomicrobiota bacterium. RNAcentral's name for it is "Verrucomicrobia bacterium partial 16S ribosomal RNA". It matches the Rfam family "Bacterial small subunit ribosomal RNA", at positions 355 to 776 of the family's 1533-position model. Lineage: Bacteria; Pseudomonadati; Verrucomicrobiota. The record is from RNAcentral.
UGGGGAAUAUUGCACAAUGGGCGCAAGCCUGAUGCAGCAACGCCGCGUGAACGAUGAAGGUCUCCGGAUGGUAAAGUUUGGUUGCGGGGGAAGAUAAUGACGUUACCUGGGGAGGAAGCCCCGGCUAACUACGUGCCAGCAGCCGCGGUAAUACGUAGGGGGCUAGCGUUAUCCGGAUUUACUGGGCGUAAAGGGUGCGUAGGUGGUCUUUCAAGUCGGUGGUUAAAGGCUACGGCUCAACCGUAGUUAGCCUCCGAAACUGGAAGACUUGAGUGCAGGAGAGGAAAGUGGAAUUCCCAGUGUAGCGGUGAAAUGCAUAGAUAUUGGGAGGAACACCAGUAGCGAAGGCGGCUUUCUGGACUGCAACUGACACUGAGGCACGAAAGCGUGGGUAGCAAACAGG